AAUUGAAUACAUUGAAAAUCUAAUGCUCAGGCUUAUAGUCUUGCAUAUGUUUAUUACAGUAUCAAUGCAAAAGGCGACAAUUCGAGCUCGACUAAUGGAGGAAACAAUGAUGAUUCGCCUCUCGGGAUAUUACCUCAUCAGAUUCGUGGUUCAGUUUCUCAGUUCUCAAAGAUCACCCUGCUUGGGCAAGCUUCCGACAGCUGUACCGCUUGCUCUGAAACCGUAAGUCUCUACAUUGAAAUCUUUUCUAGCAGAACCAAGCUCACGCAAAGCUCAUAACGUUUUUUAACAUUUGUAUUCAGGUGAUAUCGGCGUAUCGAGAGAGAGGAAACAGGUUCAUACUUGAAGCGUUUAACCAUCCUACACACCACAGCCCAAUCACCAAAAAAGACACGAGAUGUUUUCCUAGUAAUGUUGUACGAGCAUUGCCAUCUCUUAACAUAAACGUUUUGUCCUCUGUCAAAUGCCUUCUUCUUGGAGCUGGUACAUUGGGCUGUCAAGUUGCUCGUACCCUUAUGGUAUGUAUCGAAGAGAGUUUCAGAUGAAACAAUUCUACAAACUCACUGAUUAAAUAAAGUCUUCUCUAUCUUUCGUUCUUUAGGAUUGGGGAAUCCGCAAUAUCACCUUUGUUGACUAUGGCAAAGUAGCUAUGUCUAAUCCCGUCAGACAAUCUCUCUACACUUUUGAAGAUUGUAGCGAGUUUAAAGCUGUUGCUGCUGUUAAAAGCCUUAAACAGAUAUUUCCAGCAAUGGAAUCUAGUGGAGUUGUUAUGGCUAUACCGAUGCCCGGACAUCCCAUCUCUCAUAAAGAUGAGGAUUCUGUUCUCGCAGAUUGUAAACGUCUUAGCGAGUUGAUUGAAUCUCAUGAUGCCGUGUUCUUGUUAACCGACACAAGAGAAAGCCGGUGGUUACCUUCUCUUCUUUGUGCUAGUGCCAAUAAGGUAACUAAACUCUGUUUCUUUCUUUCUGUCUUGCUGGUUAUAUAAGUAUAAGUAACAAUUUGCGUGAUAUGUCGGUGUUUGAUUUGAAUUUCAGAUCGCUAUAAAUGCAGCUUUAGGUUUCGACAGCUACAUGGUAAUGCGCCAUGGCGCUGGCCCCAUCUCCCUGUCUGAUGAUACGCAGAAUCUUGACAUGAAUAAGACAAACAAACAGAGACUUGGAUGUUACUUUUGCAACGACGUGGUUGCACCUCAGGAUGUAAUUCCCUGGCUUCUUCGGUUUUAAUUUUGUCUUUUGUUUUGUGUUACUUCUGGUUCAUUUCUGAUUCGUCGUGACCGGUUGUUUUCUUUCUUUUAUUGCAGUCAAUGACUGAUCGAACUCUUGACCAACAAUGCACUGUUACACGUCCAGGUCUAGCUCCUAUUGCAGGAGCUCUUGCUGUUGAACUCUUAGUAAAAGUCCUACAACACCCACUUGGGUAAGUCUUUUACAAAUCAAAUACAUUGAAAAUUCAAUCCUCAGGCUCAUUUCGUCUUACAUAUGUUUACUACAGUAUCAAUGCAAAAGGCGAAAAUUCGAGCGCAAGUAGUGGAGGACACAAUGAUGAUUCGCCUCUCGGGAUAUUACCUCAUCAGAUCCGAGGCUCAGUUUCUCAGUGCUCACAGAUCACACUGCUUGGGCAAGCUUCCGAAAGCUGUACCGCUUGCUCUGAAACCGUAAGUUUCCACAUGACAACUUCUUUAACAGAAUCAAGCUCUCGCGAAGCAGCUC
RNAcentral lists this long non-coding RNA (1709 nucleotides) under Capsella grandiflora. Its description in RNAcentral is "long non-coding RNA (CGRA_LNC000656)". The record is from RNAcentral. Lineage: Eukaryota; Viridiplantae; Streptophyta; Magnoliopsida; Brassicales; Brassicaceae.